CGACAACGCACAAGUAUGCUUCGAAUUUGAUUCUUUUUUUUCUCUUUCAUUUGUUUAUGCUCUUUUCUUCUUCUGUUGGAUCAAUUGUGUUGUUGUUGUUGUUGAUCUGUUAUGGGCUUAGCUCCACUAUAUCAGAGCUUCGAUGUGAAGCUCUGAGUAGUGAUAUAAUUGAGAGAUAGUGAUGGUGAGGUGAGAUUUUAGCAGAGUAACAAUAAGGUUUUCUUGUUGUUGAUGAGUGAAGAGGAUAGAGUUUAUAUAGGAAGGCUUUGGAAGGAAAAUUAGUUGAAGUCAGUUAGGCAUUGAUGGAUGUGAGCCCUAAGAUUAUGAUCCAUGUGAGGAGUUAAUAUUGGCUAAGAUUAAUUCUCAAUUUAGUUAGGAUUUGUGUUAAUUCAUAGUGAAAAAUUAGUCUAAUUUCGUGUUAGUUAAAAUUGCAUUUGAAUUGAAUUUGUUGUGAAUUUAACUUGCAAUCAAAUGGAUUUUUGGAGUGAGAGUUUGCGUGUAACUGAUUAGGGCAGCUUGGUUAUGGUCAGGGCAAUUGGGGCAAUGUUGAGCUAGUUUCCACUCUCUGCAUUUGUGUUGUUAGGCUGAGGUAAGGUUAAUUUGUGAAGUCAAAGUAGAAUUCAAACAUUUCACUUUUUUCUCUUUGUGAUCUCUAAAUUUACCAGUGGCGGUAUUAUAUCCAAAUCUUGUAUUGUCGUUUGACAGAACCUUCUCACUAACAACACUUCCAAUUACACCAGCGUCUUUUGCUAUUAAUUUCAAAGGGUAACUAAGAGCUCUUUUAACAAUGUCAUCUCUGACAUUUUUUCACAUU
RNAcentral lists this long non-coding RNA (814 nucleotides) under Lathyrus oleraceus (garden pea). RNAcentral describes it as "Pisum sativum (pea) long non-coding RNA (PSAT_LNC033284)". Lineage: Eukaryota; Viridiplantae; Streptophyta; Magnoliopsida; Fabales; Fabaceae. The record is from RNAcentral.